This 465-nucleotide ribosomal RNA is filed under the name uncultured bacterium. Its description in RNAcentral is "bacterial SSU rRNA". It matches the Rfam family "Bacterial small subunit ribosomal RNA", at positions 331 to 788 of the family's 1533-position model. The record is from RNAcentral.
CCAGACUCCUACGGGAGGCAGCAGUAGGGAAUCUUCGGCAAUGGACGGAAGUCUGACCGAGCAACGCCGCGUGAGUGAAGAAGGUUUUCGGAUCGUAAAGCUCUGUUGUAAGAGAAGAACGAGUGUGAGAGUGGAAAGUUCACACUGUGACGGUAUCUUACCAGAAAGGGACGGCUAACUACGUGCCAGCAGCCGCGGUAAUACGUAGGUCCCGAGCGUUGUCCGGAUUUAUUGGGCGUAAAGCGAGCGCAGGCGGUUAGAUAAGUCUGAAGUUAAAGGCUGUGGCUUAACCAUAGUACGCUUUGGAAACUGUUUAACUUGAGUGCAAGAGGGGAGAGUGGAAUUCCAUGUGUAGCGGUGAAAUGCGUAGAUAUAUGGAGGAACACCGGUGGCGAAAGCGGCUUUCUGGCUUGUAACUGACGCUGAGGCUCGAAAGCGUGGGGAGCAAGCAGGAUUAGAUACCCU